This 253-nucleotide ribosomal RNA is filed under the name uncultured bacterium. Its description in RNAcentral is "partial 16S ribosomal RNA". It matches the Rfam family "Bacterial small subunit ribosomal RNA", at positions 524 to 776 of the family's 1533-position model. The record is from RNAcentral.
UACGUAGGGUGCGAGCGUUAAUCGGAAUUACUGGGCGUAAAGCGUGCGCAGGCGGGUCGUUAAGUUCGAUGUGAAAGCCCCGGGCUCAACCUGGGAACUGCAUUGGAAACUGGCGAGCUUGAAUGCGGCAGAGGGGGGUGGAAUUCCGCGUGUAGCAGUGAAAUGCGUAGAGAUGCGGAGGAACACCGAUGGCGAAGGCAGCCCCCUGGGCAGACAUUGACGCUCAGGCACGAAAGCGUGGGGAGCAAACAGG